UGGACGAAAGUCUGACGGAGCGACGCCGCGUGGAUGACGAAGGCCGUGAGGUUGUAAAAAUCCCUUUUUGUCGGGGAAGAAUAAGCAUGGGAGGGAAUGCCCGUGCGAUGACAUGAACCGGCGAAUAAGCCCCGGCUAACUACGUGCC
RNAcentral lists this ribosomal RNA (148 nucleotides) under uncultured bacterium. Its description in RNAcentral is "partial 16S ribosomal RNA". It matches the Rfam family "Bacterial small subunit ribosomal RNA", at positions 372 to 509 of the family's 1533-position model. The record is from RNAcentral.